CGCAGGUGCCAGGCGGUGGCAGAUUUACGCAGUCGGAUGCGCUACCAUCCUUCGACCGGGUGAAGAAUAAAUCCGGCCGCACAAAACGUCGUUUUUAUGGGUAUUUACAACCAAGCCACUUUGUGCACUAAGAACUAAUAUUUCCCGGGGGGAUUCCGGCUCUCGAUUCUUGAUAACCGAUUGGAAAUCGGCUGCAGCCCCGGGUCAGAGGCUCCCGGGCGACCGCUGCGGGGCCUGAGUCCCGGCCCCAGGGAUGCGACGGGACAGUCCGGCCGCCCCGGGGUCAGCCUGCAAGCAGCACCGCCGCCCCGGACGCAGGAUGAGGAAACCCGGGCAGAAGGUUCCAGCAGUUCUGGGAAGGGCAGGGGGGCUGACCGGGCCUCCAGCUCCACGACACUGCAGGACCGCCACCUGUCACAGGUGGGAAGGCCCAGGCGACACGGACAUCCGAGCCGUCAGAGAAGCACUUUGGCGCGGGUCAGCAGGGGGUGCAGGGCUCCUGUCUCCGUGCCCGGCCACCCUCACCCCUGCCCACCGUCCCCCGACCUGAAACUCCCCUCCCGUUCAAACGCAGAGGGGACAGGAGGUGAGGAGCUCGUGGCCCCUGGGGCCGCCACACGUCACAGGACGGGAAGGACCCAGGGAGGAGCUGCGACCCCAAGAGGCCGCCCAUACCCCCAGCCACCGGUCACCUGUGUAGGGACAGGUCGGGGCCCCGCAGCUCUGGGGCGUCCCCAGCGGCCUGGCUGCUCCCCUGAUGGCAGGGAGGACCAUAGCUGCCACCCGUGGCCCCAGGGUCUGGGGAGGGCUGGCAGGUGGUCCCGAGGCCACCGUACCCCGGCAUGUGGGCCCCAGGCACACGCCCGAUUACCUGGUUGGGGUCCCCAGCCUCUCACCUGCUGGAAUCAUGACGCGUCUUAGGAUCGCUGGGCGUCUGGUCCUACUUCUUUGAUUCCCCCAAAUCCGCUGUCACCCAGGCUGUUGUACAAGCCAUGACACAAGGGGUCCCUGAAGUCAG
This 1018-nucleotide long non-coding RNA is filed under the name Vulpes vulpes (red fox). RNAcentral describes it as "lncRNA (ENSVVUG00000016864.1)". The record is from RNAcentral. Lineage: Eukaryota; Metazoa; Chordata; Mammalia; Carnivora; Canidae.